This 1234-nucleotide long non-coding RNA is filed under the name Homo sapiens (human). Its description in RNAcentral is "non-protein coding LUCAT1:15". Lineage: Eukaryota; Metazoa; Chordata; Mammalia; Primates; Hominidae. The record is from RNAcentral.
UGCUGGGAUUACAGGCGUGAGCCACUGUGCCCUGCCAAAGGCCUUUUCAAAUCUAACGAUGUACUCACAUUUCCACCUGUCUGCCAGCCCUUGUCCAGUUUGACCUGGGCACUCACUGCUGCUCUGGUGGUGAGUACUGCUGAUGGUUCUUUUCCCUGCCCAUCCUUGAGGUGCUCGCUUCAAUAUGUCAAAUGAGGACUCUCAUUACAUUUGGCUGUCAUACAUCAGCCACAACUGUCCUGCCCAGAAGAGCUGGCCUUGGCUUUAAAGCCUACAUCCUGGCUGACCUUCUUUACUGCUUUAUUAAGGAAUCCAACUUGCUGUUUGCUAUCACAUGUGCUAUACAUGCUGUUGAUGAAACUGCUAAAGGGGCUGAAUGUGACUGACGUCUUUGGAAGGAUGAGACUUAGCGUGCCUGUACAGUUGUGUCCAAAUGCUGUCCUCAUCUCCCAAUGAAAAGGGUUUUUCCUUAAGCCUCACAACAAUUUACAGCAUUGCCAGCAGCAUUCAGUACAUUCAGAACAGGAUAAUUUCACCCGCAGCUGAACUAGGGCCAUGCCUGGGACAGACAGAGAAUGGCCUUCCAGCAGACAUGCCAAGAAGCAAGCCAGGGUCAGUGAGUGAAGAGGAGGGCAGGCCCAUUUGAAGCAACACAGUUUAUAUACAUGAAAAGAAAGAAGGAGAGAAGGAAGAAAGGAGGGCGGAAGGAAAGGAAGAAGGGAGAGAAGAAGAGAAGAAAGAAGCAGAGAAAGGAAGAGAAAAGAAAUUACGGCCAGUGCGGUGGCUCACGCCUGUAAUCCUAGCACUUUGGGAGGCCUAAGCGGGCUGAUCACCUGAGGUCAGGAGUUCGUAAGCCAGCCUGGCCAACAUGGUGAAACCCUAUCUCUACUAAAAAUACAAAAAUCAGCAGGGCAUGGUGGUGCGUGCCUGUAAUCCCAGCUACCUGGGAGGCUGAGGUAGGAGAAUCGCUGGAACCCGAGAGGCGGAGGCUGCAGUGAGUUGAGAUCAUGUCACUGCACUCCAGGCUGGGCAACAGAGUGAGACUCUGUCUCAGAAAAAAAAAAAAAGAAAGAAAGAAAGAAAGAAAGUUACCAUUAGUUUUUUGUUGUAUUUGCAAGCAAAGACAAAAGCACCAAGGUACUUGUUUCCUUCUGUAAUUAGAGUUUCAAAUAGACUAAAAGUUUCUGCUCUUAGGUGGGUCUAGAGACUCUCCAGUACCUCAGGACCUCAGGAC